CGAGAUUCGGUCCUGUUAAGGAAAACAAAACUAUAGGGUGAGCUAAACGCUCGUGAGGCCAAGAACACACAUGCAAGCACUUUGUUCAAAUAGCAAUCCCAAAUUUUAUAAAUAAAACCAUGUCCUUACAAUAAUCAAUCAUUCGAACAGGAAAAGUAAUCAUAAACAAUUCAAGGAUAUAGUAGCUCUCAGGAGCUAAGUUCCACUCGCUCUGCCGAUGUCAUUCGUAUACCUUCCCGCGUUAACCCUCCUGUCAACCGGGUCGGUAUUUCCAUUUCCGUAGAUCACCACUUACUUCCCUCCGUCCACCGUACACCACAAGGGCCCACAAGUCAUUUAUAAGGCGAUACUCCACGAGUAUGCCAAGCAAGACCUCUCAUUAGGUCGAACUUAUAUAUAUCUCAUGGCUCGCCCCAGUCCCCGACCAAGCCCAUUGCCGGCGCGAGUCCAAGGUCGGCCUAUGAGUUUGGGCGUCCCCCAUUCAUUUGAAAGUCGAGGAGGUUCACUCCAACGACAUAUGUAAUCAUAACAUAACAUUGCAUUUCAUUCAUUCAUUCAGUACAUUUCAAUCAUUCAGUUGAAAUUAGAACGAGUGCGAUAAAGUACGCACCCGCCCUUAUUUUUUUUAAACUUCCAACAAUUACCACAAAUAAGCAAGUAUUAAAGAUCCACACACUUGACACUCACCGAGCAAUUCAAUAAGAAUUAUUUUCUGGGAGUUCAAGUGUCCACUGUGAGAUCCUCUUGAAGGUCUCAUUGUGCGCCUGGCAAUUAAUAGCGGAUAAACACAAAUAAUCCACUUGUCAAGGAAGAUUGUACACUAGUACAAUCUAAGGGAUUUUUCACAAAAUGAACCUCAAUUACUCAUAAAUCGAGGUUCAACUUGCCUUUUAUUAUGUACAAUAUUAUUUGAGUUUUUAUCAUGAAAAUCGAGGGCAAAACGUUUGAAUAAUACUAAGAGAAUUAAGAGUUUUGGAAAAACUCCUUUGCCUUGAAAAUUGAGAAAUUUCAGUUUUAUCCUAAAUCUUUGAAAAUUCGAAUCUCUCUCGAUAUAAGCCCAAAACUGGAAAACUUUAUACCGUUGGAAACCUUUUGGAAAGUGGUAAAAGUUCUUAGAAGAUGCCUUUCCAUGAAUCUAAGUGGAAAGUACUCAAAAAUGAGCUUGAAGAUACAGACUCGACGUACAAAGCAGAAUUAAGUUGGAUUUCGGCCAACUUUGAAAAUUCGGCACGAUUCACACGUUGCGAACCGGCCUCUGAAAUUUGUAACUCAAUUAGUGUUGCAAGUGAGGUUUACAAAAAAGCAAGUGGAUCAAGAAUCGGAGUUUCGAGUACCGAGAUACGGUAGCUCGAAGUUGGGGAAAUUCAAGACUGGAGAAGAAUUUUCAGAUUUGAACCUCCAACACUAGAAAUUUAAUUAGGUAUUGAAACGAACUUGGAUUGGUACCAAAAUUGGCAGUAUUUUACUCCUAUAUGAAAGGUACCGUUCUAUCAAAUUUCAGGGAAAAAUACCUUCGGAAAGAUAGAUAAUUAGUCAACCAAAGUUCAGGAAAAAUUCUAAGGCAAUCUGCCUUUUGACUUUCAUAUCCCAAUUUCAAAUCGUUUAACCAAGAAAGCUAUCCAACCAUGGUUCAUUGGUGAAAUAAAGGUCUAAGAUAUAUCCAUGAUACCUUUGGUAAUGGUUUAGCAUCAAGAACUUCAAGUAAUAAAAUCAUUCCCAAGUUUUGCCCCAAAUCAGUCCAAAUACUACGUUUUUCCAAAACAGGGCAGUACUCUUGUUUUAGUCACAACUCAAUCAAUUUAACUCGGAAUGAGGCAUGGCAUGUUUUUGGCGUUAGAAAAUACAUUCAUAGGAGUAAAAGUUCACAGAAGAAAAAUUCUGAAAUUUGGCAAGCAACCAGCUCGAAAUUGAGCCUCAAGUUGCUGCCUCUACAAACCAUUCCAGCAAAUCCGAGAGACAGGACAGCUAUCUUAAAACGUUCGGUUCGGCUCACUCACAGAGAAUCAGAACAUACAUUUUAUCUCAAAUUAAAGCCAGGAAUGUCUAGUUUCAAACGCCGCUGACGGCACUUGAUUUCGACACCCGAGGACAGAGUUAUGGUCAAAAUGCUACCGCUGGACAGGGUUACCCGAAAAUAAUUUUCCAGCUUGUCUAGUUCACAAAUAAAUUCAUUUGCCCAUCCAAACAUUAAUGUUUUCAAAUGAAAUUUUUACAUAUAUAACAUAUCAUAUAAAAAUCAGGUUCAAACCAAUAAAUCACCAAAAAUGGGCCUUAUCAUGGCCGAACAAAACAGGGGCAGUUUCGAAAAAUUCUUGUCAUGACCUCAACUUUGAGUUUCCAACAAUAAUACUCCAUAAAUCCAUCAUUAUAACCACUAAACUACCAUUAAAUCCAACAUUAAUCCUCUAAUCAGCAACAACAACCCAAGUGUGGGAAUACAAAGAGCCCACUUUCGCAAUUUCCAACUAUAUCAAGCCAUCCAUACACAUGCAAUAACUUAAAGAUGCAUUUCUACCAUCAUAAUCCAAGUUUAAGGUGUAGGAUGAAGUUAUACCUCCUUAGUGCCUUAACCCAGAAAUUUUCGGCCCUCAAGAGCUCCAAGAAACCGUGAAAUGCAGCCCUUUUUGUUAGCUAAAUCCAACCUCCAAGUAGUUUGCUAGAUGAUCUCCAAGUUUGGUGAAGAUUGGUUGAAGUUUGGGUUGAUUUGGUGAAGAAAAAUGAAGAGCAAUGAAGCUUAAGAGAGAGAGAUGUUGGCCGGCUGUCUGGGAGGAAGAGAGAGAGUGAUCAGAUUUCUUUUAAGCUUCCAAGAAAGAUUAAAUGAGUGGUGCACAUUCACUCCAAAGUCAACUCUUAUUAGGGCUCGUUUGGCACGUUUUAGGCUCGAUUUUCUCGCGCGUUUGUUCACUAGUGCACUGAACCCCAAUGCAUUUAUAUUCAUGUAAGUAUUAUUCACUCUUAAUUGUCCCGAAUAAAGGUCUAAAGUCCCUCAAAUAAAGUCGCGCGUGUGAAAACGCGUACCGUCAAUUUUAACGCUAUAACGCGAAACUUCCGAGAAAUUCUUAUAACGAUUGUACUACUAACUAUCACUUGAGUAUUUAUUCAUAAGAUUACCUAUUUUAAGAAUAGUACAAGUCUCCAAUAUUCCAAGCUUAUUGUGCUCCUACGCGGAUAAAAUCUCAAGUACUAUUCACUAUUUUUACUAAACGCGCUCCAGGAAAUUAAUUUUUGAAACGAAUCAUUUAAAAUAUAACGAAGUUAUAUUACCAUGUAUUUAGGUCUAAUAAGACUAGAAAAUAUUCCUCAUGGCAAAAUCUAAUUAAAUAAUUUAUUAGCCAUAAAUUAGGCAUAAAAUAAUAGUUUUUACGAGUCCUCACACAAAUUCCAGUGUAACCUAGUCAAAUUCCCAAUUCCCAGAACCAAGUUCCAACUAAUCGGCUAAUUAACCGUACUACCUUUAAAUGGCCAUAUCGCAGGAUACCAAAGUCCGUUUAAGGCUUUCCUGGAGGCGUUGAAAAGCUAAUACAAAGACCUACAACUUUCAUGAAGACCACUCAGUCUAGUUCUCACCCUAACUAGGUCAAAUUUACCAAAAGAAACUCCAGAUUUUCCAGUUUGAAAUUCACUGCAGAAAUCAACUAGCAGUCCUGCUUUAUUCACUCAUAUCUCAGCACACACAACUCCAAUUCAGGUAAUUCCAAAGCCAUUAGAAAUCUAAGACACAAGGCUAUAAGUCUUAAGAAGACAUCAACAACCAAAUCAGUAGUAUUCCUGGUCAAAACAUCCAAUUACAGAAGCUGAUUAUCAGUUUCGGAUAAAUACAGGGAAGCAAGGGUAUUUUGGUCUUUUCACAGGCUAAGUUGCUCUGAUUGAGCUGAAAUUUUACAGGAAACUAUAAAACAUCAUUCCCUACAACUUUCAUGUUUUGUACUAUGGCCAAAUCAGCUCCCAACAUGUUCGAAUUUUCAGACUAAUUUCGGACAGAAAUCUUGACAGAAAAGGAACACUUGAAGUUCAUUUGAAUUUCCGGCCAUUCAAAUCAGUUCCUAGCCAGUUAGAUUCAACUUCCAAUCAUCAAUCAUAUGUUUUACCACAAGAAUCAAGAGUUGGGAAAUUGGUUUACCUCAAAUCCUUAAUCAUACCCCCUAGCUGGCCGAUUCUUUGAGGAGAUGUAUCCUUGAGCUCCAACUCUCCAACAAAGUUCCCUUGGUUGGUUGCAAGCAAGGUUGGAUGAAUAACCCCAAUGAUUCCCUUUCUUUUUUUUUCUUUCUUCUCCUAGCUCACCCGAUGCUGCCUUUCUUCUUCUCCAAGCUCACGAUAACUUGUUCUUGGUGUUGGCUUU
This 4339-nucleotide long non-coding RNA is filed under the name Coffea arabica (coffee). RNAcentral's name for it is "long non-coding RNA (CARA_LNC008276)". The record is from RNAcentral. Lineage: Eukaryota; Viridiplantae; Streptophyta; Magnoliopsida; Gentianales; Rubiaceae.